GGGUGAUAAGCCAGAAUCGCCUGGUAUGGGGGAAAGUCAAAGGAACGCUAAUACCGCAUACGUCCUACAGGAAAAGCGGGACCUUCAGGCCUUGCUAUCAUGAGCCUAGUCGGAUUACUUGGUGGGGUAAUGGCUCACGCACAUCCACUGGUCUGAGAGGAUGAUCACCACUGAACUGAACACGCCGACUCCUACGAGGCGCGUGGGAAUAUUGACAAUGGGACGCUGUCCGCCUGCCGCGUGUGUGAAGAAGGUCUUCGGAUUGUAAAGCACUUUAAGUUGGGAGGAAGGCAAUAGCUAAUACCUUGCUGUUUUGACGUUACCGACAGAAUAAGCCCGGCUAACUCUGUGCCAGCAGCCGCGGUAAUACAAGGGUGCAAGGUUAAUCGAAUUACUGGGCGUAAAGCGCGGCGUAGGUGGUUUGUUAAGUUGGAUGUGAAAGCCCCCGGGCUCAACCUGGGAAGCUGCAUCCAAACUGGCAAGCUAGAGUACGGUAGAGGGUGGUGGAAUUUCCUGUGUAGCGGUGAAAUGGUAGAUAUAGGAAGGAACACCAGUGGCGAAGGCGACCACCUGGACUGAUACUGACAUGAGGUGCGAAAGCGUGGGGAGCAAACAGGAUUAGAUACCCUGGUAGUCCACGCCGUAAAGAUGUCAACUAGCCGUUGGAAUCCUUGAGAUUUUAGUGGCGCAGCUAAGCAUUAAGUUGACCGCCUGGGGAGUACGGCCGCAGGUUAAAACUCAAAUGAAUUGACGGGGGCCCGCACAAGCGGUGGACAUGUGGUUUAAUUCGAACAACAGGAAGACCUUACCGGCCUUGACAUGCAGAGAACUUUCCAGAAUGGAUUGGUGCCUUCGGGAAUCUGACCAGGUGCUGCAUGGCUGUCUCAGCUCGUCGUGAGAUGUUGGGUUAAGUCCCGUAACGAGCGCAACCUUGUCCUUAGUUACCAGCACGUUAUGGUGGGCAUCUAAGGAGACUGCGGUGAAAACCGGAGAAGGUGGGGAUGAAGKAAGUCAUCAUGGCCCUUACGGCUGGGCUACACACGUGCUACAAUGGUCGGUACAGAGGUUGGCAGCCGCGAGUGGAGCUAAUCUCCCWAAACCGAUCGUAUCCGGAUGCGWUCUGCAACUCGACUGCGUGAAAUCKGAAUCGUAGUAAUCCGAAUCAUGUCGCGGUGAAUACGUUCCCGGGCCUUGUACACACCGCCCGUCACACCAUGGGAGUGGGUUGCACCAGAAGUAGUAGUCUAACCUUCGGAGGACGGUUACCACGGUGUGAUCAUGACUGGG
RNAcentral lists this ribosomal RNA (1287 nucleotides) under Pseudomonas sp. PBR-8. Its description in RNAcentral is "bacterial SSU rRNA". It matches the Rfam family "Bacterial small subunit ribosomal RNA", at positions 105 to 1479 of the family's 1533-position model. The record is from RNAcentral. Lineage: Bacteria; Pseudomonadati; Pseudomonadota; Gammaproteobacteria; Pseudomonadales; Pseudomonadaceae.